This 61-nucleotide transfer RNA is filed under the name uncultured Florenciella. It matches the Rfam family "tRNA", at positions 6 to 65 of the family's 71-position model. Rfam says of the family: Transfer RNA (tRNA) molecules are approximately 80 nucleotides in length. The record is from RNAcentral. Lineage: Eukaryota; Dictyochophyceae; Florenciellales.
GUAUGGUGAAAGGGUAUCACUACUGCCUUCCAAGCAGUUUUUCGGGGUUCGAGUCCCCGUG